This 652-nucleotide ribosomal RNA is filed under the name uncultured bacterium. RNAcentral describes it as "bacterial SSU rRNA". The stretch from base 1 to 554 matches the Rfam family "Bacterial small subunit ribosomal RNA", at positions 338 to 873 of the family's 1533-position model. The record is from RNAcentral.
CCUACGGGAGGCAGCAGUGGGGAAUAUUGGACAAUGGGCGCAAGCCUGAUCCAGCCAUACCGCGUGUGUGAAGAAGGCCUUUUGGUUGUAAAGCACUUUAAGCGAGGAGGAGGCUCUUGAGGAUAAUACCCUUGAUGAGUGGACGUUACUCGCAGAAUAAGCACCGGCUAACUCUGUGCCAGCAGCCGCGGUAAUACAGAGGGUGCGAGCGUUAAUCGGAAUUACUGGGCGUAAAGCGCGCGUAGGCGGCUUGUUAAGUCGGAUGUGAAAUCCCCGGGCUCAACCUGGGCACUGCAUUCGAUACUGGCAAGCUAGAGUAUGGGAGAGGAAGGUAGAAUUCCAGGUGUAGCGGUGAAAUGCGUAGAGAUCUGGAGGAAUACCGAUGGCGAAGGCAGCCUUCUGGCCUAAUACUGACGCUGAGGUGCGAAAGCAUGGGGAGCAAACAGGAUUAGAUACCCUGGUAGUCCAUGCCGUAAACGNUGUACAACUAGCCGUUGGGACCUUGAGUUCGUUUAGNGGCGCGNGCGUAACGUACGAGUUAAGUUAGUACCGCCGUUGGGUAGGUUACGGUUCGGCGAGACGUUAAACGUUACGAAGGAAGUUAGACGGACGUUGAGGACGUUGACCGACGGACGACGACGAGGGAGGUAGG